This 73-nucleotide transfer RNA is filed under the name Litorimonas taeanensis. RNAcentral's name for it is "Robiginitomaculum sp. G5 tRNA". It matches the Rfam family "tRNA". Rfam says of the family: Transfer RNA (tRNA) molecules are approximately 80 nucleotides in length. The record is from Rfam by way of RNAcentral. Lineage: Bacteria; Pseudomonadati; Pseudomonadota; Alphaproteobacteria; Maricaulales; Robiginitomaculaceae. RNAcentral also lists the same sequence under 1 other name.
GGGGCUUUAGCUCAGUUGGUAGAGCAUCUGCUUUGCAAGCAGAGGGUCAGCGGUUCGAAUCCGCUAAGCUCCA